Molecule: ribosomal RNA, 115 nt
Filed under: Labrus bergylta (ballan wrasse)
Lineage: Eukaryota; Metazoa; Chordata; Actinopteri; Labriformes; Labridae
Source: RNAcentral
GGUUACGGUCAUACCACCCUGAACACGCCGAUCGUCGAUCUCGGUAGCUAAGCAGGGUCGGGCCUGGUUAGUACUUGGAUGGGAGACCGCCUGGGAAUACCAGGUGCUGUAAGCU